Long non-coding RNA from Lotus japonicus, 1327 nucleotides. RefSeq lists it as uncharacterized. The record is from RefSeq and is a predicted model, not a curated record. The transcript has 9 exons. NCBI's taxonomy places the organism in Eukaryota, Viridiplantae, Streptophyta, Magnoliopsida, Fabales, Fabaceae.
GAAUUGCGUGUUUCUUCCUUGAUUCUCAUCACUCCCUAAUUUCAAUGCUGUUAGAAAUUCCUAAUUUUAUGCUCAUUUAGUGUAGUUCAACUUCAAUAAACUGACAAUUUUACUUAAAUUGUCAAUUUUAGUUGCUCAAAAUGCAUUGCAGGUGCAAAAUGGUAUCAGGAAGUGUUUUGGUUAACUAGAACUUUGCUGCAGGUUUCAACGUCUCCGUGGUCGGCACUGCCUGGGGAAUUUACAUAAUUGGUAGUAGCUUGAUCGGUGCUGCAAUCAAGGCUCCCUGAAUCACUUCCAAGAAUCUCAUUAGGUGCUGCAAUGACGAACUCUGAUUUGGGGUGUUGAUGCUGAGAAGUGCAUCUCAGGAAAGAUUGAGAAGAAGUCCAAAAUUAUUCUUCUAUCUCCAUUGUAAGCUUAUCUCAGCGUGCCAGGUUUCCGGUUCACAGGGUCAGCGAGGCGGAUAUCCGUACCCGUACGCGCGCGGGUUUCUAUUUGGCGGGUUUUAAACAGGGUGACAAGAUUCAGGCUACAGUGUGGAGCAGCCACGUUGUAAAAUUUGAGUCAGCCUUAAAAGAGGGGGUGUGCUAUGAAAUUGUCAUUCUCAGCGUCGCUAUUAAUAAUUACAAAUAGACACCUUGCACUCAUCCAUGCAGGUUGUAUUUCAAGUUGCAAACUGAAGUGAAACCUAUAGAAGCUCGAAAAAUUCCUUAUUAUGGGUUUAGCUUCGCACCAUAUGGUUCAAUAUUUGAAAAUCUUAAAGAGGACGAGGAAUUGAUCGACACCUUAGGUGUUGUCGUAGCCAAAUGAUAACUAUCAGACUUCAAGAAAGAAGUUACUACAGUCAGUCAACUAUAUUGUUGUUGAUUUGGAUGCUCUAGACGGAAGUGAAAUCCUAAGGUGUACACUGUGGGAAGAUUUUGCUCAACAAUUUUUACAAUAUGUUGCUGAAGGACACGAUGGUCCAGUGGUUCUUAUUCUGCAGUUGGCUAAAAUGAAAAUGUACAAAGAGUAAAAAACAAACAAGGGCUACAGAUCCUAAUAGAAAAUCAUGAUGAUCUACCUUCUGACAAAACAAUUCAUGUUGUGUACGAGAGAGUAUUUUCAAAUAUAACUCUAUAAGGUCAAGAAAGCAUGCACGAAGCAACAAGGGAUUUGUGUCAGAAGAUUCUGGAUCGCUGUCUUAUGUGCAGUUCAUGUUUUACACCGCAAUUCCGCUCCUUGCUGUUCUUUAUGAAUGAAGACCAUUUGUUAAUCUUUUUUAGUAUUACACAAUAAUCUAACCAUUGGUUUCAUCAGCCUUUCAAUUUCCACUUCAAGACUUUAGACA